UAGGGAAUCUUCGGCAAUGGACGAAAGUCUGACCGAGCAACGCCGCGUGAGUGAAGAAGGUUUUCGGAUCGUAAAACUCUGUUGUUAGAGAAGAACAAGGACGUUAGUAACUGAACGUCCCCUGACGGUAUCUAACCAGAAAGCCACGGCUAACUACGUGCCAGCAGCCGCGGUAAUACGUAGGUGGCAAGCGUUGUCCGGAUUUAUUGGGCGUAAAGCGAGCGCAGGCGGUUUCUUAAGUCUGAUGUGAAAGCCCCCGGCUCAACCGGGGAGGGUCAUUGGAAACUGGGAGACUUGAGUGCAGAAGAGGAGAGUGGAAUUCCAUGUGUAGCGGUGAAAUGCGUAGAUAUAUGGAGGAACACCAGUGGCGAAGGCGGCUCUCUGGUCUGAACUGACGCUGAGGCUCGAAAGCGUGGGGAGCAAACAGG
RNAcentral lists this ribosomal RNA (428 nucleotides) under Chloroflexota bacterium. Its description in RNAcentral is "Chloroflexi bacterium partial 16S ribosomal RNA". It matches the Rfam family "Bacterial small subunit ribosomal RNA", at positions 355 to 776 of the family's 1533-position model. Lineage: Bacteria; Bacillati; Chloroflexota. The record is from RNAcentral. RNAcentral also lists the same sequence under 1 other name.